ACGGAAGGCAGCAGUGGGGGAUAUUGCACAAUGGAGGAAACCCUGAUGCAGCAACGCCGCGUGAGGGAAGAAGGUUUUCGGAUUGUAAACCUCUGUUUUUAGUGAAGAAACAAAUGACGGUAGCUAAAGAGGAAGCCACGGCUAACUACGUGCCAGCAGCCGCGGUAAUACGUAGGUGGCAAGCGUUGUCCGGAUUUACUGGGUGUAAAGGGUGCGCAGGCGGGACUGCAAGUUGGAUGUGAAAUACCGAGGCUCAACCUCGGAGCUGCAUCCAAAACUGUAGUUCUUGAGUGAAGUAGAGGCAAGCGGAAUUCCGAGUGUAGCGGAGAAAUGCGUAGAUAUUCGGAGGAACACCAGUGGCGAAGGCGGCUUGCUGGGCUUUAACUGACGCUGAGGCACGAAAGCAUGGGUAGCAAACAGGAUUAGAUACCCUGGUA
This 437-nucleotide ribosomal RNA is filed under the name uncultured Ethanoligenens sp. RNAcentral describes it as "partial 16S ribosomal RNA". It matches the Rfam family "Bacterial small subunit ribosomal RNA", at positions 341 to 792 of the family's 1533-position model. Lineage: Bacteria; Bacillati; Bacillota; Clostridia; Eubacteriales; Oscillospiraceae. The record is from RNAcentral.